Non-coding RNA from Rhagoletis zephyria (snowberry fruit fly), 73 nucleotides. The record is from the annotation of a RefSeq genome assembly. NCBI's taxonomy places the organism in Eukaryota, Metazoa, Arthropoda, Insecta, Diptera, Tephritidae.
GGUUGUGUGGCCUAAUGGAUAAGGCGCUUGACUUCGAAUCAAGAGAUUGGGAGUUCGACCCUCUCCACAACCU